CUACGGGGGGCACCAGUGAGGAAUAUUGCACAAUGGGGGGAACCCUGAUGCAGCAACGCCGCGUGGAGGAUGACGCAUUUCGGUGUGUAAACUCCUUUUAUAUGUCAAGAAAAUGACGGUAGCAUAUGAAUAAGCACCGGCUAACUCCGUGCCAGCAGCCGCGGUAAUACGGAGGGUGCAAGCGUUACUCGGAAUCCUGGGCGUAAAGGACGCGUAGGCGGGUUGGAAAGUCAGGUGUGAAAUCCUACAGCUUAACUGUAGAACUGCACUUGAAACUUCUAAUCUAGAGCAUGGGAGGGGGAGAUGGAAUUAGUGGUGUAGGGGUAAAAUCCGUAGAUAUCACUAGGAAUACCUAAAGCGAAGGCGAUCCCCUGGAACAUUACUGACGCUAAGGCGUGAAAGCGUGGGGAGCAAACAGGAUUAGAUACCCCCGUAGUC
RNAcentral lists this ribosomal RNA (438 nucleotides) under uncultured bacterium. RNAcentral's name for it is "partial 16S ribosomal RNA". It matches the Rfam family "Bacterial small subunit ribosomal RNA", at positions 339 to 795 of the family's 1533-position model. The record is from RNAcentral.